AGAGUUUGAUCCUGGCUCAGGACGAACGCUGGCGGCGUGCCUAACACAUGCAAGUCGAGCGAGAUCCAUCCAGUGGCAACACUGGUGAAGAUCUAGCGGCGAACGGGUGAGUAACACGUGAGAAACCUGCCCCGGAGACCGGGAUAACUCGAGGAAACUCGAGCUAAUACCGGAUACCCCCACCGAACCGCAUGAUUUGGUGAGGAAAUGCUCCGACGCUCCGGGAGGGUCUCGCGGCCUAUCAGCUGGUUGGUGAGGUAACGGCUCACCAAGGCUAAGACGGGUAGCUGGUCUGAGAGGACGAUCAGCCACACUGGGACUGAGACACGGCCCAGACUCCUACGGGAGGCAGCAGUGGGGAAUCUUGCGCAAUGGGCGAAAGCCUGACGCAGCAAUGCCGCGUGCAGGAAGAAGGCCUUCGGGUUGUAAACUGCUUUUGUACGGAACGAAACGGUCUGGGUUAAUACCCUGGGCUAAUGACGGUACCGUAAGAAUAGC
This 498-nucleotide ribosomal RNA is filed under the name uncultured Macromonas sp. RNAcentral's name for it is "bacterial SSU rRNA". It matches the Rfam family "Bacterial small subunit ribosomal RNA", at positions 8 to 491 of the family's 1533-position model. The record is from RNAcentral. Lineage: Bacteria; Pseudomonadati; Pseudomonadota; Betaproteobacteria; Burkholderiales; Comamonadaceae.